Molecule: unclassified non-coding RNA, 208 nt
Filed under: Hevea brasiliensis (rubber tree)
Lineage: Eukaryota; Viridiplantae; Streptophyta; Magnoliopsida; Malpighiales; Euphorbiaceae
Source: RNAcentral
UGAGGGAAGGGUAAAUAAAGACAAAGAGGGGUAAGUAAUUAUUAUAAUUAAUUAUAACCCUGUUUGGAAAGGGAUGAGCUAAUGAAGGGUACGGGUAAGUAAGGUAAGGCUUAUCUCCCUUAACCCUCAAAUCUCAAUUUUUCUCACAUUUCAAAUCAAUUGGGGUGUAAGCAGAGGAGGUGAUAGAUGAAAAUUAUUUUAUUUUUUA